UACGGGGGGGGCAAGCGUUGUUCGGAAUUACUGGGCGUAAAGCGUGCGCAGGCGGCUUCGCAAGUCAGACGUGAAAUCCCCGGGCUUAACCUGGGAAUGGCGUUUGAAACUACGGAGCUGGAGUGUGGCAGAGGGAGGUAGAAUUCCACGUGUAGCGGUGAAAUGCGUAGAUAUGUGGAGGAACACCAAUGGCGAAGGCAGCUCGCUGGGACGGUACUGACGCUGAGGCGCGAAAGCGUGGGGAGCAAACAGG
Molecule: ribosomal RNA, 253 nt
Filed under: uncultured bacterium
Lineage: Bacteria
Description: partial 16S ribosomal RNA
Rfam family: Bacterial small subunit ribosomal RNA
Source: RNAcentral